GCAUUAAUGGGGUAGUGGUAACCUGGGUCGUUGCCAUACCUCCAUGUUACACACCUGUUGUUUGACUCGACCCGCCGGGGGUUCGAUUCCCUCUUAAUGCA
Non-coding RNA from Marasmius oreades (fairy-ring Marasmius), 101 nucleotides. The record is from the annotation of a RefSeq genome assembly. NCBI's taxonomy places the organism in Eukaryota, Fungi, Basidiomycota, Agaricomycetes, Agaricales, Marasmiaceae.